CAAAGAUUAAGCCAUGCAUGUCUAAGUACACGCCUUUACACGGCUAAACUGCGAAUGGCUCAUUAAAUCAGUUAUGGUUCCUUAGAUCGUACAAUCCUACUUGGAUAACUGUGGCAAUUCUAGAGCUAAUACAUGCAACACAGCUCCGACCUCGCGGGAAGAGCGCUUUUGUUAGCCCAAAACCAAUGCGUCGCUCUCGGGCGGCGCUCCUUAUGGUGACUCUGGACAACUUUGUGCCGAUCGCACGGCCCUAGCGCCGGCGACGUAUCUUUCAAGUGUCUGCCCUAUCAACUUUCGAUGGUACGUGCUAUGCCUACCAUGGUGAUAACGGGUAACGGGGAAUCAGGGUUCGAUUCCGGAGAGGGAGCAUGAGAUACGGCUACCACAUCC
This 390-nucleotide ribosomal RNA is filed under the name Mya arenaria. RNAcentral describes it as "SSU rRNA". It matches the Rfam family "Eukaryotic small subunit ribosomal RNA", at positions 38 to 417 of the family's 1831-position model. Lineage: Eukaryota; Metazoa; Mollusca; Bivalvia; Myida; Myidae. The record is from RNAcentral.